AACGAACGCUGGCGGCAGGCUUAACACAUGCAAGUCGAACGCCCCGCAAGGGGAGUGGCAGACGGGUGAGUACCGCGUGGGAACAUACCCUUUUCUACGGAAUAGCUCUGGGAAACUGGAAUUAAUACCGUAUACGCCCUACGGGGGAAAGAUUUAUCGGGGAAGGAUUGGCCCGCGUUGGAUUAGCUAGUUGGUGGGGUAAAGGCCUACCAAGGCGACGAUCCAUAGCUGGUCUGAGAGGAUGAUCAGCCACAUUGGGACUGAGACACGGCCCAAACUCCUACGGGAGGCAGCAGUGGGGAAUAUUGGACAAUGGGCGCAAGCCUGAUCCAGCCAUGCCGCGUGAGUGAUGAAGGCCUUAGGGUUGUAAAGCUCUUUCAACGAUGAAGAUAAUGACGGUAGUCGGAGAAGAAGCCCCGGCUAACUUCGUG
Molecule: ribosomal RNA, 431 nt
Filed under: uncultured bacterium
Lineage: Bacteria
Description: partial 16S ribosomal RNA
Rfam family: Bacterial small subunit ribosomal RNA
Source: RNAcentral